AGUGAACGCUGGCGGUAGGCCUAACACAUGCAAGUCGAACAGCAGCACAGUAAGAGCUUGCUCUUACGGGUGGCGAGUGGCGGACGGGUGAGGAAUACAUCGGAAUCUACUUUUUCGUGGGGGAUAACGUAGGGAAACUUACGCUAAUACCGCAUACGACCUACGGGUGAAAGCAGGGGAUCUUCGGACCUUGCGCGAUUGAAUGAGCCGAUGUCGGAUUAGCUAGUUGGCGGGGUAAAGGCCCACCAAGGCGACGAUCCGUAGCUGGUCUGAGAGGAUGAUCAGCCACACUGGAACUGAGACACGGUCCAGACUCCUACGGGAGGCAGCAGUGGGGAAUAUUGGACAAUGGGCGCAAGCCUGAUCCAGCCAUACCGCGUGGGUGAAGAAGGCCUUCGGGCUGUAAAGCCCUUUUGUUGGGAAAGAAAAGCAGCAGGUUAAUACCCCGCUGUUCUGACGGUACCCAAAGAAUAAGCACCGGCUAACUUCGUG
RNAcentral lists this ribosomal RNA (492 nucleotides) under uncultured bacterium. RNAcentral's name for it is "partial 16S ribosomal RNA". It matches the Rfam family "Bacterial small subunit ribosomal RNA", at positions 29 to 507 of the family's 1533-position model. The record is from RNAcentral.